UCAACUUCCUGCGGAGGACGCGCUCUGGGCUUAACGGUCUGGACGUGGAGUCCGCGUGGUUACUUUGAAAAAAUUAGAGUGUUCAAAGCGGUCUUACGCUUGAAUAUUUCAUCAUGGAAUAACACUAUAGGACUCCUGUCCUAUUUCGUUGGUCUCGGGACGGGAGUAAUGAUUAAGAGGAACAGUUGGGGGCAUUCGUAUUUCAUUGUCAGAGGUGAAAUUCUUGGAUUUAUGAAAGACGAACUUCUGCGAAAGUAUUUGCCAAGGAUGUUUUCAUUAAUCAAGAACGAAAGUUGGGGGCUCGAAUAUGAUUUAGAUACCAUCCUAUUCUCAACCA
RNAcentral lists this ribosomal RNA (337 nucleotides) under uncultured eukaryote. Its description in RNAcentral is "SSU rRNA". It matches the Rfam family "Eukaryotic small subunit ribosomal RNA", at positions 693 to 1032 of the family's 1831-position model. The record is from RNAcentral.